UGACUUGUUUAUGGAAGAUUUAUUCAAAAUAGCCAAAAAUAGAAACAACCCAAAAGCCCAUCAGAAGAAUGAACAAAAAUGGCAUAUUCAUACAGUGGAAUACCAUACAGAAAUAAAGGAGCAAGCUAUUUGAUAAAAGCAACAACAUGAGUGAAAGUCAAAGACAUUUUGGUGAGCAAAAGAAGCCAAACACAAAAGAAUACCUAUAAUUUGAGAUUUCACUCACAUGUGGAAUUGAAGAAGAAAAAAAAUAAACAUAGGGGAAGGGAAGGAAAAAUGAAAUAAGAUAAAAACAGGGAGGUAAACCACAAGAGACUCUGAAUCAUAGGAAACAAACUGGGGUUCCUGGAGGGGAAGUGGAGGGGAGGAUGGGGUGACUGAGUGAUGGGCAUUAAGGAGAGCACUUGAUGGAAUGAGCACUGGGUGUUAUAUGCAACUGAUGAAUCACUAAAUUCUACCCCAAAAUUAAUAAUACAUGUUAACUAAAUUAAAUUUAAAUUUAAAAAAUCUACUGUAUGAGUCCAUUUAUACAAAAUUUAAAAACUGGAAAGCUACUGGUUGAGCAGACUGUGGUGACUGGGAAGGGAUAUGAAGGAACUUUCUGGGAUGGCGAAAAUAUUUUAUAACAUUGUAGGAUUGUAUACAACUGUAAAAAUAUAAGCACAUAUUAUUGAGCUAUCCCCUGGAAAUGUUUACAUUUUGCUACACAUAAAUUAUGCUUCAAUUUUAAAAAGGGAAAAAAAGAAUCCCACAUGGAACCCCAAAUAUACGCAACCCAGAUGGGUUCUGGGAACUCCCCAGUCAAAAAGAUCCAGUUUGGAGAGGAGGAAACUCUAUGCCUCCCCAGGAGUUUGGCUGAGCCCUAAGGGUUCAUCCUCUUGAUUCCCUGCUGUCCACUCAAUUUUGCUACACAGCAAUCCAGGGAUGAAAUUCUGACAAUGAGCUCCCUCACACACACACACACGCACACACACACACCCCACAAACACACACACAUCCACUUCUGCCAAGCAUUUUGCAAGUUUAGUCAACUUUUUGCAGAUUUGAGGUUCAAAGUCAUACAGAGUGGUCUCAUCAUAACUGUCUCCCCUUCUUUCUAAAUGCAGAAUAAAAACUGCUUUUCUCAAGCCAAGAUGCCAGCCAAAACCCAGACCACAGAGUCACAGCUUUCUCCCCAAAAGGCCUGGACAAGGAAAAUCUUUCAUGAGAAUAGAGCACUCCUUCUGAAAGGAAUUGUGGGAGAUACACAACUCCCUCUUCUCUAUGCUUAGCCACACUACUCUGGUUGAAGCAAAUAGCAGAGGCAAAGCCUUUAUGGGUAGCUAACUGCUCUUUGCCCCUCCCCAUUUCCUCUCACCCUGGCCUCUAGGCCCCGGGGGAGCUCUGAGAAACCUUGAGAGUCCCUUGAGGGCAAUUUGAAAACCACUGCAGUAGCUCUGGGGAGGAAAGAUUGACAAAACUGUGAGUUUGAGAAAGUAGCCAUUUGCCCUGCAUUUGGAGUUGGAGUAGAGCAGUGAGAGAUUCUAGUUACAUGAGUGUUGAUGGUACUGGAUGCUUUGGGGUCUGCUAAAAGAAUAAAAUUUUUCACCUGUUUUCCAUGACCUAUCUUCAAUCAACCUUACCUCUUACUUUCCCCCUCACCAUGAAGAUAAUGAGGAGUAGUAACUUUGCCCUCCUUUUGGGCACGCAAUUCAAAUGGGGUCUUUACAACCAUUUUUAAGGAAACAUGCUGAUGCAGUGGUAGCUGAGACUCUAAUGGAAAAUAUUAGAGGAAGCAGUAUAAAAGCAAGACCAAAAGGGACACCUGCGUGGCUCAGUGGUUGAGCAUCUGCCUUCAGCUCAGGGCGCGAUCCCAGGGUCUGGGGAUCCAGUCCUGCUUCUCCCUCUGCCUAUGCCUCUCUCUCUGUGUGUCUCAUAAAUAAAUAAAUAAAAUCUUAAAAAAAAAAAAAGCAAGACCAAGAGAUACAUAAACAAGGUGUUUAAAAGGUAGUGCUUCUUUACCUCAGCUUUUUUUGGAUGUACUUACAUACAACAAAGUCUACCCAUUUUAAGUGUACAAUUUCAUGAAUUUUGGUAAUUGUAUAUCAUUGCAUAAUCACGACCACAAUCUAGAUACAGAAUAGUUCCGUCUCCUGAAACAUUUCCUGUGCCCCUUUGCAGUAGUUCCUUUCUCCUACCCCAGCCAGAGCAACCUCUGAUUUGUUUUUGUCGCUAUAAUUUUGCCUUUUCUAGGGUUUCAUAUAAAUGGAAUGAUAUAGUACAUAGUCUUUUGUGUUUGACUUCUUCUACUUGACUUCUUUUCACUUUGAGCUAUUUUUAACCUAUAUUACCUAUAUUAUUAAAUAUAUUACUAUUUUGUCCUUUUUUAUUGUUGAGUAGUACUCUAUAGUAUGGAUUGUUUAAUCUAUUAAACAAUUGUUUAAUCUAUUUACCAGUUGAUUGACAUCUGGAUCACUUUCAGUUUGGGGCUGUUAUGAAUAAUGCAGCUAUGAACAUUUGUACACAAGUCUUUUUGUGGACACAUGUUUUCACUUCUCUUGGGUAAAUACCUAGGAGUGGAAAUGAUGGGGUGUAUAUAUAGUAAGUGAGUGAAUAUUUACCCAGUCAUGGGUGGAAACAUAGCUAGGGAAGUCCAGAGCCCAGAGCCUGUGUCAAAAGCUGUAGAUAAGCUACAAUUCUCAGUAUUUUCAUGAUUCAAGAGUCCUAAGCCAACAACAAAAUAAGACCUACUUUGGAGCCUGUGUAACCUGUGUAACCCAGUAGAGUACCACCCCAUAGGAAAGCCCACAACCCAGCUUCCCACAAGGGAAACCUCCCAUAAAGAUCAUUCCUAAACCUCCCAUAAAGAUCAUUCCUAAACCUCCCAUAAAGAUCAUUCCUGUGGAAGAUGAGCUCAUCAUAUAAAACAUACAAGAAUGUCCAGUUCCAUUAAGAUAGCCAGAAAAUUGAUACCAAAAACAAUAUCCAAUAGAGCAAUCUUAAAGGUAUUUUAAAAUGUGCAUUUAAUUAAUUAGUUAACAUUAGUUAACUAGUUAAUUAGUUAACAUUCAUUGUUCUUUUUUUUAUAUUCAUCGUUCUGCUUUUCUUUUCUGCACAUCCUUGUAUGUGACUCUUCCAUACUACCUUGAGAAAAGCUAGAAUAUUACAGUAGAAAUUCAAAGACAAAAGUAGUAUUUGCUUUAGGUCAGUUUUUGCUUCCAAAAUAAAUUUUUGAGAAUCAACAGGGAAUAUCCAAGAGUAACAGUCACAGAC
Molecule: long non-coding RNA, 3252 nt
Filed under: Canis lupus familiaris (dog)
Lineage: Eukaryota; Metazoa; Chordata; Mammalia; Carnivora; Canidae
Description: lncRNA (ENSCAFG00000054338.1)
Source: RNAcentral